Molecule: ribosomal RNA, 1487 nt
Filed under: uncultured bacterium
Lineage: Bacteria
Description: bacterial SSU rRNA
Rfam family: Bacterial small subunit ribosomal RNA
Source: RNAcentral
AGAGUUUGAUCCUGGCUCAGGACGAACGCUGGCGGCGUGCUUAACACAUGCAAGUCGAACGGAAAGGCCCUGCUUUUGUGGGGUGCUCGAGUGGCGAACGGGUGAGUAACACGUGAGUAACCCGCCCUUGACUUUGGGAUAACUUCAGGAAACUGGGGCUAAUACCGGAUAGGAGCCCCUGCUGCAUGGUGGGGGUUGGAAAGUUUCGGCGGUUGGGGAUGGACUCGCGGCUUAUCAGCUUGUCGGUGGGGUAGUGGCUUACCAAGGCUUUGACGGGUAGCCGGCCUGAGAGGGUGACCGGCCACAUUGGGACUGAGAUACGGCCCAAACUCCCACGGGAGGCAGCAGUGGGGAAUAUUGCACAAUGGGCGGAAGCCUGAUGCAGCAACGCCGCGUGCGGGAUGACGGCCUUCGGGUUGUAAACCGCUUUCGCCUGUGACGAAGCGUGAGUGACGGUAAUGGGUAAAGAAGCACCGGCUAACUACGUGCCAGCAGCCGCGGUGAUACGUAGGGUGCGAGCGUUGUCCGGAUUUAUUGGGCGUAAAGGGCUCGUACGUGGUUGAUCGCGUCGGAAGUGUAAUCUUGGGGCUUAACCCUGAGCGUGCUUUCGAUACGGGUUGACUUGAGGAAGGUAGGGGAGAAUGGAAUUCCUGGUGGAGCGGUGGAAUGCGCAGAUAUCAGGAGGAACACCAGUGGCGAAGGCGGUUCUCUGGGCCUUUCCUGACGCUGAGGAGCGAAAGCGUGGGGAGCGAACAGGCUUAGAUACCCUGGUAGUCCACGCUGUAAACGGUGGGUACUAGGUGUGGGGUCCAUUCCACGGGUUCCGUGCCGUAGCUAACGCUUUAAGUACCCCACCUGGGGAGUACGGCCGCAAGGCUAAAACUCAAAGGAAUUGACGGGGCCCCGCACAAGCGGCGGAGCAUGCGGAUUAAUUCGAUGCAACGCGUAGAACCUUACCUGGGUUUGACAUGGAUCGGGAGUGCUCAGAGAUGGGUGUGCCUCUUUUGGGGUCGGUUCACAGGUGGUGCAUGGCUGUCGUCAGCUCGUGUCGUGAGAUGUUGGGUUAAGUCCCGCAACGAGCGCAACCCUUGUUCACUGUUGCCAGCACGUUAUGGUGGGGACUCAGUGGAGACCGCCGGGGUCAACUCGGAGGAAGGUGGGGAUGACGUCAAGUCAUCAUGCCCCUUAUGUCCAGGGCUUCACGCAUGCUACAAUGGCUGGUACAGAGAGUGGCGAGCCUGUGAGGGUGAGCGAAUCUCGGAAAGCCGGUCUCAGUUCGGAUUGGGGUCUGCAACUCGACCUCAUGAAGUCGGGUCGCUAGUAAUCGCAGAUCAGCAACGCUGCGGUGAAUACGUUCCCGGGGCUUGUACACACCGCCCGUCAAGUCAUGAAAGUUGGUAACACCCGAAGCCGGUGGCCUAACCGUUGUGGGGGAGCCGUCGAAGGUGGGACUGGUGAUUAGGACUAAGUCGUAACAAGGUAGCCGU